ACGAUUUUAGAGGAAGGAGAAGUCGUAACAAGGUUUCUGUAGGUGAACCUGCAGAAGGAUCAUUUGCACAUGUGUAGCCAACUGCAUGCUAAUGAUAUUGUGGGCAACUGUAAGCAUGUAUUGCAAUGGGCUUGCACUUGCCCUGGGCAGCAUGAUUUGUUGUUCAAGCAUGUGUGCUGUAGUGUGUGAUGUGUUUUGUAAACUGUUUGCAUUUCUCUAGUUGCUGCAACAAUUAUGUUUUGCAAGGAAUGUCGUAGCUCAAUAAAUGAUGAAGAAUGCAGCAAAAUGCAAUAUGCAUUGCGAAUUGCAGAAUUCCGUGAGCUAACAGAUGUUUGAAUGUUACUUGUACCUUUGGGAUAUUCUUGAAGGUUUGCUUGGUUUAAUGCAAAGUAGCUUUCAUAUACAUUUAAUGCUGAUUAGCAUUGUUGUGAACAAUAAAGGUCAAUGUUUUGCAUUGAACCUGGAUGUCAUACAGUUGUUUACAACCUAAACAUGGUUUCGUGGGGCAGACCUGUUUCGUCAUUUGAUGGUUGAUAUUUGUAAAUGUGUACAACUGGGACAAGCUGAAGACUUGCAUAUGCUAAGCGUGAAGUGAAGCACAUAAACCUGCUGAAUUUAAGCAUAUAAGUAAGUGGUGGAAAUUAAACCAAU
This 651-nucleotide ribosomal RNA is filed under the name Alexandrium tamarense. RNAcentral describes it as "eukaryotic LSU rRNA". The stretch from base 234 to 388 matches the Rfam family "5.8S ribosomal RNA". Lineage: Eukaryota; Dinophyceae; Gonyaulacales; Pyrocystaceae. The record is from RNAcentral.